Molecule: ribosomal RNA, 408 nt
Filed under: Fusobacteriota bacterium
Lineage: Bacteria; Fusobacteriati; Fusobacteriota
Description: Fusobacteria bacterium partial 16S ribosomal RNA
Rfam family: Bacterial small subunit ribosomal RNA
Source: RNAcentral
UGGGGAAUAUUGCACAAUGGACGGAAGUCUGAUGCAGCAACGCCGCGUGCGGGAUGACGGCCUUCGGGUUGUAAACCGCUUUUUCUCAUGACGAAGUUUUUUGACGGUAGUGGGGGAAGAAGCACCGGCUAACUACGUGCCAUCAGCCGCGGAGAUACGUUGGGUGCGAGCGUUGUCCGGAAUUAUUGGGCGUAAAGAGCUUGUAGGCGGUUUGUCGCGUCGAUAGUGCAAACUCAGUGCUUAAGGCUGAGCCUGCUGUUGAUACGGGCAGACUAGAGGAAGAUAGGGGAGAAUGGAAUUCCCGGUGGAGCGGUGGAAUGCGCAGAUAUCGGGAGGAACACCGGUGGCGAAGGCGGUUCUCUGGGCCUUUACUGACGCUGAGAAGCGAAAGCGUGGGGAGCGAACAGG